AGGAGCCGGCCAGCUCCCCAGCCCAGGCCGGGGGCCGCGCCGCCGCCUCCCCCAGCGUCGCCCCUCGCCUGCCUGCCCGCCUUAAAUGUGACACCGGUGCCUCGGAGUGCGACCCGAAGCCGCCACCGGGGAGGGGACGAGCACCAUGUUGAAUCUAAGCAAAGGCACGGGGAGCCGGAAGGACACCAAGAUGCGGAUCCGGGCCUUUCCGAAUCUUUCAUCCGCAACCUUCCAGUGUGCUUUACAACCUCCUGUGCAGGAAUGGCCUAGCCACUCAAGAGAAAACGAAUGGGACGGUUGGUUCUUCAUUUCCUAGCCAUGGAAGCCCAAAAGAAGAAGUAAUCACCACCAUUGUGAGGAGUGUCAGAACUUCUUGAUUGACAGCUGUGCUGCCCACAGGCCCCCGACCUUUGUAAAGGACUCUGCAGUGGAAAAUGUGCACGCCAAAUGCUCAGCCCUCACUGUGCCCCCUGGGUUAAGUAUCAGACCAUCAGGCAUCCCUGCGGCUGGGCUUGGAGCAUGGAGCGAAGCAUCUGAUCUGUCUUUGGGCCUGCACUUUGACCCCUAAGAGGGCCAGACGAUGAAGAGGCCACUAACGGUGGAUGCUCCUUGGCUGGCUGAAGAGCAUCAGUGACAGCAGAGGGAAAUACCUCUUCUAUUAUUUGCUGCCAAAAAAAAAUCAAAGAGAGAAGAAAGCUUGUAUUUCUUUUCUGACACUCAGCUUACCAAAGGGAGAAACCACUAUGAGUAUGUGGAUGGAAAGGACACACCUUUGGUCAACUGGAUGAGGUAUGUGAACUGUGUCUGGGACGACGAGGAGCAGAACCUGAUGGCCUUGCAGUAUGGCAGAUCUUCUACCAAAUCUGCCAGGUGGUCAGCCGGGCUGUGAACUUCAGGUCUGAUAUGCAGACGAGUGUGGCAAGGAACUUGGCGUCAAGCGGGACAGCAGGGAAAAGAGCGAGCUCGUGGCUGGGAAAGAACCAAAGCCUAAGAUCUACCCUGUGUAUCCGACUCUCUGGACUUCUCAAGUCAAAAAUUCCUCUCAGAUCCUCCUGAGACCAUCUGCAAGAGACCACCUCCAACCAGAGGAUCCCUGCCCGGUCAGUCAACAUCAGCAGCUGUGAUAUUCUGAUCCACACAGCCUGAGUGAAAAACUGGAGCAACGAGAGGGCAAGAAAAGUCCCCAUCCUUCGAUGAAAGGCCGCACAUUUUGCAUAAGGCCGAAGAGGAUUUCAAUGGCCUCUUCCUACUCACCCAAAAGACAAAUGGGGGGUUCUGAGGUGCAUGAGAGAACGACAUAAGAGCCCAGCACAAGCCAGAAACUGAAUGCAGAAGAAACAGGCAAAUUACUUAUGGGGGCAGGGGUAUCAGGAAUUAUAAGACUCAAGUAUGGAGAGUGAGGGUAAGUCUCCAAGGAUAGGUAAAGUCUCAUCACAACCAGAGGACUCACACAUGGGAGAAGCCCUAUGUAUGUAGAAAAUGUGGACAAAGCGUCAGUCAGAAGUCCCAUCUCAUCAGACAACAGAAGACACACACAGGGGAGGAGCCCUAUGUCUGUGGGGAGUGUGGGCAAAAGUCAGUCAGAAGCGCAUCUGAUCAGAAAACAGAAGACACACACAGGGGAGAAGUCCUAUGUUUGAGGAGAGUGGUGCGAAGUUUCAGUGAGAAGUCGGGUGUCGUCACGCAGCAGGGGACAUACACCGGGUCGAAAGCAUAUGUUUGCAGGGAGUGUGGGUGAAGCAUCAGUUAGAAGUCAGUUCUCAUUAGAGACCAGGGGACACACAGGGGAGAAGCCCUGUUUGUGGGGUGCGAGGGUGAAGCUUCAGUGUGAGGUCCAAUCUCAUCAGACUGCAGAAGACACAUACAGGGAAGAAGCCCCGUGUUUGUGGAGAGUGUGGGCGAAGACUCAGAAGUCAGGUGUCCUCACACAGUAGAGUACACACAGAGAGGGUGUGGGGGAAGCUUCAGUUGGAAGUCAGUUCUCACAGACCAGAGGACAUAGGGGAAAGCCCUGUGGGUGUGGGUGAAGCUUCAGUGUGAGAUCCAAUAUCAUCAGACUCCAGAAGACAGACACAUGGGAGAAGCCUCAUGUUUGUGGGGAGUGUGGGUAACGUUUCAGUCAGAAGGCAGGUAUCUUCAUACACCAGAGGGGACACACCGGGGAGAAACCCUAUGUUUGAAGAAAUGUGGGUGAAGCUUCAGGUAGAAGUCAGGUGUCAUCACAGACCAGAGUACACACACGAGGGAGAACCCUGUGUUUGCAGGGAGUGUGAGUGAAAUUUAAGGUAUAAAUCAGGUUUCACAGACGAGAGGACACACAGGGGAGAAGCCCUACGUUUGUAGGGAGUGUGGGUGAAGAUUCAGUUAGAAUUCAGUUCUCAGAGGCCAGAGGAAACAGGGGAGAAGCCCUGUCUGUGGGGGGUGUGGGUGACGGUUCAGUGUGAGUUCCAAUCUCAUCAGACUCCAGAAGACACACGGGACAAGCCCCAUGUUUCUGGGGAGUGUAGGCAAAGGUUCAGUCAGAAGUUCCAUCUCAUCAAACAAGAGACGACACACACAGAGAAGCCCUAUGUUUGUGGAGAGUGUGGGCAAAAUCUCAGAAGUUAGGAGUUCUCACACACUAGAGUACACCCAGGGGAGAAACCCUAUGUUUGCAGGGAGUGUCGGUGAAGCUUCAGUUCGAAGUAAGGUCUCAGGGACGUGAGGACACACAGGAGAAGCCCUGUUUCUGGGGCUUGUGGGUGAAGCUUCAGUGUGAGGUCCAAUCUCAUCAGACUCCAGAAGACACACACAGGGCAGAAACCCGAUGUUUGUGGGGAAUGUGGGGAAAGUUUCAGUAAGAAGUCAGGUGUCAUCACACAGGAGCACACACAUGGGGAAAAAUCGUAUGUUUGCAAAGAGGGUGGGUGAAGCUUUGGCUAGAGUCCGGUUCUCAUUAAAGACCAGAGGACACAGAGGGGAGAAGCCCUGUUUGUGGACAGAUGUGGAUGAAGCUUCAGGGUGAGGUUUAGUCGCAUCAGAAAGAACACUCAGGGGAGAAGCCCGUGUGUGUGGAGAGUGUGGGCGAAGUCUCAGAAGUCAGGUGUGCUCACACAACAGGGUAGGCAGAGGGGAGAAAUGCUAUGUUUGCAGGGAGUGUGGGUGAAGCUUCAGUUGGAAAUCAGUUCUGACAGACGAGAGGACACACAGGGGAAAGCCCUGUUUUUGGUGUGUGUGGGUGAAGCUUCAGUGUGAGCUGCAGUCUCAUCAGACUCCAGAAGACACACACAGGGGAGAAGCCCUAUGUUUGUGGGGAGUGUGCAAAAUUUCAAUCAGAAGGCAGGUGUCUUCACACAGCAGAGGACACACCCCGGGGAGAAACCCUAUGUUUGCAGGGAGUGUGGGUGAUGCUUCAGGUAGAAGUCAGGUCUCAGAAACGAGAGGAGAAACAGGGGAGAAACCCUACGUUUGCAGGGAGUGUGGGUGAAGCUUCAGUUCGAAGUAAGUUCUCAGAGACGAGAGGACACACAGGGCAGAAGCCCUGUUUGUGGGGCUUUUGGGUGAAGCUUCAGUGUGAUGUCCAAUUUCAACAGACUGGAAGACACACACAGGACAGAAACGCCAUGUUUGUGGGGAAUGUGGGGAAAGUUUCAGUAAGAAGUCAGGUGUCAUCACACAGGAGCACACACAUGGGGAGAAAUCAUAUGUUUGCAAGGAGUGUGGGUGAAGCUUGGGCUAGAAGGGCAGUCUCAUAAAAGACCAGAGGACACAGAGGGGAAAAGCCCUGUUUGUGGAGGGAUGUGGGUGAAGCCUCAGUGUGAGGUCUAGUCUCAUCAGAAAGAAGACACACAGGGGAAAAGCCCCGUGUGUGUGGAGAGUGUGGGCGAAGUCUCAGAAGUCAGGUGUGCUCACACAACAGAGUACCAGAGAGGGGGAGAAAGACUAUGUUUGCAGGGAGUGUGGGUGAAGCUUCAGUUGGAAUGCAGUUCUCACAGAACAGAGGACACACAGGCGAGCGCCCUGUUUUUUGGUGUGUGUAGGUGAGCUUCAGUGUGAGCUGCAUUCUCAUCAGACUCCAAAAGACACAGACGGGGGAGAAGCCCCAUGUUUGUGGGGAGUGUGUGCAAAGUUUCAGUGAGAAGGCAGGUGUCUUCACACUGCAGAGGACACACCCCGGGGAGAAACCCUAUGUUUGCAAGGAGUGUCGGUGAAGCUUCAGGUAGAAGUCAGGUGUCAUCACAGACCAGAGUACACCCACCGGGGAGAACCCUGUGUUUGCAGGCACUGUGGGCGAAGCUUCAGUUAGAAGUCAGUUCUCAUUAGAGACGAGCGACAGUCAGGGGAAAAGGCCUGUUUGUGGAGGGUGUGGGUGAAGCGUCAGUGUGAGGUCCAAUCUUAUCAGACUCCAGAAGACACACACACGGGAGCAGCCCCAUGUUUGUGGGGAGUGUGGGCAAAGUUUCUGUCAGAAUUCCCCUCUGAUCAGGGAAGCCACACACAAGGGAGAAGCCCUACAUUUGUAGAGAGAGUGGGCGAAGUUUCAGUCAGAAGCCAGGUGUCCUCACACAGCAGAGGACACACACCAGGGAGAAACCGUCUGUAGGGAGUGUGGGUGAAGCUUCAGUUAGAAGUCAAUUCACAUUAGAGACCAGAGGACACACAGGGGCGAAGCCCUGUUUGUGAGUGGUCUGGGUGAAGCUUCAUAAGAGGUCCAGCCUCAGACUCGUGAAGACACCCACGGGAGAAGCCCCAGGUUUGUGGGGAGUGGGCACACUUUCAGGAGAAGUCCUAUCUCAUCAGACAACACAAGACACACACAGGGGAGAAGGCCGAUGUUUGUGGAGAGAGUGGGCAAAGUUUCAGGCAGAAGUUCCAUCUCAUUAAAUAACAAAGGACAGACUUAGGGGAAAAGCCCUAUGUUUGUGAAGAGUGUGGGCGAGGUAGCAGUCAGAAGUCAGGUGUCCUCACACACUAGAGUACACAGAGAGAGGGGAAACGCUAUGUUUGCAGGGAGUGUGGGUGAAGCUUCAGUUCGAAGUCAGGUCUCAGCGACGAGAGGACACACAGGGCAGAAGCCCUGUUUCUGGGGCUUGUGGGUGAAUCUUCAUUGUGAGGUCCAAUCUCAUCAGACUCCAGAAGACACACACACGGCAGAAACCCCAUGUUUGUGGGGAAUGUGGGGAAAGUUUCAGUAAGAAGUCAGGUGUCAUCACACAGGGGCACACACAUGGGGAGAAAUCGUAUGUUUGCAAGGAGUAUGGGUGAAGCUUUGGCUAGAAGUGCGUUCUCAUUAAAGACCAGAGGACACAGA
Molecule: long non-coding RNA, 5290 nt
Organism: Dama dama (fallow deer)
Lineage: Eukaryota; Metazoa; Chordata; Mammalia; Artiodactyla; Cervidae
Exons: 6
Source: RefSeq, a predicted model, not a curated record